UCAAGAAAUAAUUCCACUACGAUGCUGGUCGUACGGUGUUGACUAGUUAGAGAGAAUAUAGACUAUGGGGUUUUGUAAAUAAUGUAAAGUAAAAGACAAAUAAAUAGGAAUGGUUUUAGCUCAAGACUAGCUCUUGAUUGAUCACUAGAUAAAAGUAGAUUUAACCACAAUGGCUAGCCAAAGAGAAUUACGUUUCUACAGGUUUUCUAUUUUAAUGUGCAACUGUUUAUUGACGUUUGGAUCAUUCUAUGCGUUUGAUAUGCCUAGUGCUAUACAAACGGAACUACAAGACAAGGAGGGUUGUUGGAAUACUACAAUAGAAAGCAGUAUUAAUUCUACAAGUACCACAAAUCAUACCACAUGUUGUCCAGAUUGUUUAGGACUUGGACCGUUUCAUUAUAAUUUACUCUUCGCGAUAUAUGC
Patella vulgata (common limpet) is the source of this 423-nucleotide long non-coding RNA. RefSeq lists it as uncharacterized. The transcript is spliced from 4 exons. Lineage: Eukaryota; Metazoa; Mollusca; Gastropoda; Patellidae. The record is from RefSeq and is a predicted model, not a curated record.